AUGUUGGUAAAGCAUUUACCUAAGUUACGGAAAAUUCAUAAUUCAUCAGUUAUUUUAGAUAAUACUAAACAAGAUAGAGUAAGAUACAGAAGUGUAAAAGAAAGUGGAUUCAUCAGAUGA
RNAcentral lists this ribosomal RNA (120 nucleotides) under Triticum aestivum (bread wheat). RNAcentral describes it as "partial small subunit ribosomal RNA". Lineage: Eukaryota; Viridiplantae; Streptophyta; Magnoliopsida; Poales; Poaceae. The record is from RNAcentral.